This 89-nucleotide transfer RNA is filed under the name Agaricus bisporus var. bisporus H97. RNAcentral describes it as "tRNA-Asp". It matches the Rfam family "tRNA". Rfam says of the family: Transfer RNA (tRNA) molecules are approximately 80 nucleotides in length. Their secondary structure includes four short double-helical elements and three loops (D, anti-codon, and T loops). Lineage: Eukaryota; Fungi; Basidiomycota; Agaricomycetes; Agaricales; Agaricaceae. The record is from RNAcentral.
UCUCUGUUAGUAUAUCGGUUAGUACACGCGCCUGUCACUACAAUGUGUAACGACCGCGCGAAAGCGGGGUUCGACUCCCCGACAGAGAG